GAAGUGGAAUAAAUUUUUUUAUUUUGGAAGUUUUAAUAUUAAAAAAGAAUUCGUAAUGUAAUAAUCAUAGUUGGUAGGCAACGAGGGAGAUUAGGCUAUGAUUUUUUUGACUUAGUUCUUUUUUGUAGGGGGAUAAAAUAGGUGCCAGUAAUCACGGUUAAACCUAUGUUCUAAAUAUUAAGAAAUAAUCGUAAAAAGUUGGUAAAUAAAUAUGAGAAAGGUAAAAUUUUAUAUGUAUUUGUUAAGAGGGAAUUAUAAGAAAGUGGAUUAGUACCCAAUUACUAAGUAAAUAGUAAGAAUUAUAUAUUAGAUUAAACUUAAAAAAUUAGACGGUACUUUAUAAACAGGGGAACUUGUUAUUUUAACUGAUAAUCCUCGUUAUAUUUUACUUAGAAAAGUUGUGUAUGUCCGUAAAUAAAUGGUAAAAUACUGUUUUAAAAGUUCAGGUCGCCAUGCUUAGUUCUUUGAAUUUAUGAGUUAUUAUAUAUUAAUAUGUGGAAAAAUUUUGAAAAAUUUUUGAAAAGCAGAUUUGUUAGUAAAAAGAAAUUAAUAAGUUGUUUUGAAAGUUUUUAAAGUGAGUACUUACCGCCCGCUACCAAAUGCGUAAGUAUUUGUAAGGCGUAACAAGGUAGUUGUUCUAGAAGGAGCAACUGGAGUUGGAAAAGUGG
Molecule: ribosomal RNA, 668 nt
Filed under: Pyura gangelion
Lineage: Eukaryota; Metazoa; Chordata; Ascidiacea; Stolidobranchia; Pyuridae
Description: small ribosomal RNA
Source: RNAcentral